AUGGACAAGCAGAGCGUCGUGUGGAGACAGCUGCACCAUCAGCAGCAGCAGGCCGGCGGCGCGGCGGGCGGCAAUGCCGUCGCUGGCGCCGGUGCGGCGACGACGACGACCGCGCCCGUCCGGCCGAGCGGCGCGCGGUGGACGCCCACGCCGGAGCAGGUCAAGAUCCUCAAGGACCUCUACUACGACUGCGGCAUCCGGUCGCCCACGGCGGAGCAGAUCCAGCGGAUCGCGGCCCGGCUCCGGCAGUACGGCCGGAUCGAGGGCAAGAACGUCUUCUACUGGUUCCAGAACCACAAGGCCCGCGAGCGCCAGAAGAAGCGCCUCGGCGUCGACGUCAACGCCUCCCCCCUCGCCGCCGCCGCCGCCGACGUCCUCGCCCUCUCCCCCUCCGGUACUUGCUCGCACGAAAAAGUUAUCCUCCGGUCUGAUCACCUGUUGAGAUUUAUGGACUGUGGGUUCUCUUCAGCUGGGGCAUACUUUUUCUCUGUCCAUAUGUGCCCAUUACAUUAUUACGAAUGUCAUAAGAAGAAAGUGCGGAAUUAUCAUCUAUCAACUUCUCACUCUGAUGUGUCAGGCAGUAGUUCUCCCAAAUGUGCUUCCUGGGACAAACAUAAAUACUUAGAGCGGAGUUUGGAAGAAAUCAUCUGUUUCCUUAACAGAUGGAAAUAUUGA
RNAcentral lists this ribosomal RNA (675 nucleotides) under Triticum aestivum (bread wheat). Its description in RNAcentral is "partial small subunit ribosomal RNA". The record is from RNAcentral. Lineage: Eukaryota; Viridiplantae; Streptophyta; Magnoliopsida; Poales; Poaceae.